Molecule: long non-coding RNA, 978 nt
Organism: Gordionus sp. m RMFG-2023
Lineage: Eukaryota; Metazoa; Nematomorpha; Gordioida; Chordodea; Parachordodidae
Exons: 6
Source: RefSeq, a predicted model, not a curated record
UUAAAUUUUAGCUGUCCAUAUCUAUUUUGAUCUCCUUAUUUAACUUAUUUAGAAGAUUACAAAUUAAACUUCAGUGUCCAUAACUAUUUUGAUCUCCUUAUUUAACUUAUUUACAAGAUUACAAAUUAAACUUCAGUAUAAUUGGACAAUAAAAAAGGCGGGAAGGUUGCACGAAAUACUAAUUUCUAUUAAGACAACGAAAAUAUAGAUUUUGAAAAAAUUUGUAGUCUGAAAUUACCAGCUCAGAUGAAAAGACAAGGCAAGCCGAGGAAGUCUGAUUUAUCUGUAAUAGGAUUAUCUAAAAAAGGGAAUAAAAGCAAAAGGAAACAUUUUGAUAUUUAGAGUAUACCUAAAUUUGCUGAGGACAUAGGAAAAGGAACACCAAUUAUAACCAAUUCUCAAAUGGAGUUUAUAAAUUUCAUAAUCAAUGAGAAAAUAAAUGCAGGUGAUACAAAACCCAAAAAUUUGGGCAAUCGUCAGAUAACUUAUAAAAAGUUAUCUAACCUUAUACAACUUUGUCUGAAGAAAACAAGGCAAGAUGGAUUAUAGAUAAAAUUUAUAAAGGGUCUGCAAAGAAUAAAAUUUAUAAUAAUGAAAUGGUUGAUUUUGAUGACAUUCUUACCAUAAAAAAUAGUAUGCAAUGUUUAAAAAAUGAUGAAGUCGAUUUUCAAAUGAUAAAAUCAUAUUUGACCAAUCAAGCUUGGAUACAGGUUCAAGAUUUACAAGUCAAGAUUAUAGCGGAGUCCUGGAUUUGUCAUGAUAUUUGUUUGUGCUGGUUCCACUUUAAAUGUCAAAAAAUUAAGAAAAAACCUUAUAAAAUUCAUUGGUUUUGUAAUAAUUGUUGUUAAAUAUAUUUACUAGUUUUGUUAUAAUUGUUUUAAAUGUAUUUAUAUUUGUCUUUUAUAUUAUAAAAUGAUUGUAAAUAUUUAUGUAUUAAAAUUAUAGUUGUUAAUAAUUUGUUUUUAUUGAAUAAAAUUA